GAAAUGAAACUGGUGGUAAAAGUUGGGGUGGUAAUAGUACUAACAAUGAAAGCAAUACAACAGGAGGUGGUUGGGGAGUCACGGCUGGAUCUGGAAAUGAAACUGGUGGUAAAAGUUGGGGUGGAAAUAGUACUAACAAAGAAAGCAAUACAACAGAAGGUGGUUGGGGAGUCACAACUGGAUCUGGAAAUGAAACAGUUGGGGAGUCACGGCUGGAUCUGGAAAUGAAACUGGUGGUAAAAGUUGGGGUGGAAAUAGUACUAACAAAGAAAGCAAUACAACAGAAGGUGGUUGGGGAGUCACAACUGGAUCUGGAAAUGAAACAGGUGGUAAAAGUUGGGGAGAAAAUAGUACUAACAAAGAGAGCAAUGCAGCAGUAGGUGGUUGGGGAGUCACGGCUGGAUCUGGAAAUGAAACUGGUGGUAAAAGUUGGGGUGGUAAUAGUACUAACAAUGAAAGCAAUACAACAGGAGGUGGUUGGGGAGUCAUGGCUGGAUCUGGAAAUGAAACUGGUGGUAAAAGUUGGGGUGGUACUAGUACUAACAAUGAAAGCAAUACAACAGGAGGUGGUUGGGGAGUCACGGCUGCAUCUGGAAAU
RNAcentral lists this long non-coding RNA (598 nucleotides) under Lathyrus oleraceus (garden pea). RNAcentral's name for it is "Pisum sativum (pea) long non-coding RNA (PSAT_LNC021830)". The record is from RNAcentral. Lineage: Eukaryota; Viridiplantae; Streptophyta; Magnoliopsida; Fabales; Fabaceae.